This 280-nucleotide ribosomal RNA is filed under the name uncultured bacterium. RNAcentral's name for it is "partial 16S ribosomal RNA". It matches the Rfam family "Bacterial small subunit ribosomal RNA", at positions 77 to 354 of the family's 1533-position model. The record is from RNAcentral.
CGUUCGCGCUUCCGCCGGCGACCGGCGCACGGGUGAGUAACACGUAUGGAACCUGCCCGCAGCAGGGGGAUAAUCGGGGGAAACCCCGUCUAAUACCGCGUAACGACCCGGAGGGGCAUCCCUUCGGGUCCAAAGGUUUACCGGCUGCGGAUGGCCAUGCGUCGCAUUAGCUUGUUGGCGGGGUAACGGCCCACCAAGGCGACGAUGCGUAGGGGUUCUGAGAGGAAGGUCCCCCACACUGGUACUGAGACACGGACCAGACUCCUACGGGAGGCAGCAG